CUCUGGAGAUUAUGGUGGAUGGUGAAAAAGUACCAUUCUAUGGAGAAACUUUAGAAGUAAGUCCAUGAAGUUGUCAUUUUGCCUCUAAAUGUGACCUCUUAGUGUCCUACCCGUGAUAAUUUAUUGUCACUCACAACUUUUCAGUAGAAGUCAUAUAUAGUGUAGAGUAAAUGUUGUUGGCCAAGUGACCUCUUAGUAUCCUACCCGUGAUAAUUUAUUGUCACUCGCAACUUUUCUGUAGAAGCUAUAUAUAGUAUCAGAGUAAACGUUGUUGGCCAAGCGAUCGUCAAGUCUAAUACACCCAGUUUCUUGUGUUGGUCUUCAAAAUUACCAUAGACCGGUUACUGUGGUGAGAAAUGCCACUUGUCCCAAUGCGUUAGCUAUUGGCAUGGACUAGCACUCGGUGAAAAGAAACACAUUUCAUCUUCCACAGCAUUAAACUCUCCUAAAUUGGAAACACCAACCACAGGCUUACUCAAUCAAGAAUAUUAUCCACUGUAGUAAACUUGACAAAAUGCCCUUGAUAACACUUCACAAAGAUUUCAUAUUUUCCUGAUUAUGUUUGCCUUUGUUAUGAAUUCACUUUGCUCCAUAGUCUAUACAUUCCUACUUAUUCCUUUCGUAUUUAACAAUGUUUUC
RNAcentral lists this long non-coding RNA (639 nucleotides) under Nicotiana benthamiana. Its description in RNAcentral is "long non-coding RNA (NBEN_LNC025579)". Lineage: Eukaryota; Viridiplantae; Streptophyta; Magnoliopsida; Solanales; Solanaceae. The record is from RNAcentral.